RNAcentral lists this ribosomal RNA (449 nucleotides) under uncultured bacterium. Its description in RNAcentral is "partial 16S ribosomal RNA". It matches the Rfam family "Bacterial small subunit ribosomal RNA", at positions 29 to 523 of the family's 1533-position model. The record is from RNAcentral.
AACGAACGCUGGCGGCAGGCUUAACACAUGCAAGUCGAACGGUGUAGCAAUACACAGUGGCGCACGGGUGAGUAACGCGUGGGAACGUGCCCUUCAGUACGGAAUAACGUCGGGAAACUGACGCUAAUACCGUAUAUUCCCUCCGGGGGAAAGAUUUAUCGCUGAAGGAUCGGCCCGCGUUAGAUUAGGUAGUUGGUGGGGUAAUGGCCUACCAAGCCUACGAUCUAUAGCUGGUCUGAGAGGAUGAUCAGCCACACUGGAACUGAGACACGGUCCAUACUCCUACGGGAGGCAGCGGUGGGGAAGAUUGGACAAUGGGGGAAACCCUGAUCCAUCCAUGCCGCGUGAGUGAUGAAGGCCUUAGGGUUGUAAAGCUCUUUUGUCAGGGAAGAUGAUGACGGUACCUGAAGAAUAAGCACCGGCUAACUUCGUGCCAGCAGCCGCCGUAA